RNAcentral lists this ribosomal RNA (593 nucleotides) under Coelopogon abraxas. RNAcentral describes it as "eukaryotic LSU rRNA". The record is from RNAcentral. Lineage: Eukaryota; Fungi; Ascomycota; Lecanoromycetes; Lecanorales; Parmeliaceae.
GAAGCUGCGGAGGAUCAUUACCGAGAGAGGGGCUUCGCGCUCCCGGGGGCUUCGGCCSCCAACUCUUCACCCGUUGUUUACCUACCUUCGUUGCUUUGGCGGGCCCCGGGGCUCGCCCCGCGCGGGUUUUCGGGCCCGCGAGCGCCCGUCAGAGGCCCAUUAAAUUCUGCCUUAUCGGUGACGUCUGAGUGAAAAACACAAUAGUAAAAACUUUCAACAACGGAUCUCUUGGUUCCAGCAUCGAUGAAGAACGCAGCGAAAUGCGAUAAGUAAUGUGAAUUGCAGAAUUCAGUGAAUCAUCGAAUCUUUGAACGCACAUUGCGCCCCUCGGCAUUCCGGGGGGCAUGCCUGUUCGAGCGUCAUUGCACCCCUCAAGCGUAGCUUGGUAUUGGGCCUUCGCCCCCGCGGCGUACCCGAAAAGCAGUGGCGGUCCGGUGCGACUUUAAGCGUAGUAAAUUUUCAUCCCGCUUUGAAAGUCUGCCCCGUGACCGGCCAGCCAACCCCCCAUUAUUCCAAUGAUUGACCUCGGAUCAGGUAGGGAUACCCGCUGAACUUAAGCAUAUCAAUAAGCGGAGGAAAAGAAACCAACAGGG